This 409-nucleotide ribosomal RNA is filed under the name uncultured fungus. Its description in RNAcentral is "eukaryotic LSU rRNA". The record is from RNAcentral. Lineage: Eukaryota; Fungi.
AGAGUUAAAUAGUACGUGAAAUUGUUGAAAGGGAAACGAUUGAAGUCAGUCAUGCUAGUGAAAAAUCAGUUUGACGGGUUUUGAGUUCGGGAGUAGAGGCAGGGUCAAACCGUUUCUCUUUUGGACUUGGGAUUUGUCGGAUGUACUUUUUCUUUGGCAGGUCAGCGUCGGUUUCGGAGGUUGUAAAAUACUUGGGGGAAAGUAGCUCUGCUUCGGGAGAGUAUUAUAGACCCUGGGGGAUGCAGCCUGUGGGAUCGAGGAUUGCAGCAAAUGCUUUUGGCUUGUCGCCUGAUCUCUGGACGUCAUCUCGCUUGUAUCAACAUUCUUGCCACCGGGGAGUACUGAUGCCCAUUAGGUUAGAACGAUCAAAAAUUUGCUAAGGAUGCUGACGUAAUGGCUUUAAACGACC